Ictidomys tridecemlineatus (thirteen-lined ground squirrel) is the source of this 72-nucleotide non-coding RNA. NCBI's taxonomy places the organism in Eukaryota, Metazoa, Chordata, Mammalia, Rodentia, Sciuridae. The record is from Rfam.
GGAGUUGUGGCUUAGUCAUAGAGCGUGCACCUAGCACAUGUAAGGCCCUGGGUUCGAUCCUCAGCACCACUA